Molecule: ribosomal RNA, 413 nt
Filed under: uncultured prokaryote
Description: bacterial SSU rRNA
Rfam family: Bacterial small subunit ribosomal RNA
Source: RNAcentral
GUGUCAGCCGCCGCGGUAAUACGAAGGGGGCUAGCGUUGUUCGGAAUUACUGGGCGUAAAGCGCACGUAGGCUGACUUUUAAGUCAGGGGUGAAGUCCCGGGGCUUAACCUCGGAACUGCCUUUGAUACUGCCAGUCUCGAGUCCGGAAGAGGUGAGUGGAAUUCCUAGUGUAGAGGUGAAAUUCGUAGAUAUUAGGAAGAACACCGGUGGCGAAGGCGGCUCACUGGUCCGGUACUGACGCUGAGGCGCGAAAGCGUGGGGAGCAAACAGGAUUAGAUACCCUGGUAGUCCACGCCGUAAACGAUGGAUGCUAGCCGUUGGACAGCAUGCUGUUCAGUGGCGCAGCUAACGCAUUAAGCAUCCCGCCUGGGGAGUACGGCCGCAAGGUUAAAACUUAAAUGAAUUGACGGGG